This is a non-coding RNA of Sus scrofa (pig), 3375 nucleotides long. The record is from RefSeq and is a predicted model, not a curated record. NCBI's taxonomy places the organism in Eukaryota, Metazoa, Chordata, Mammalia, Artiodactyla, Suidae.
UGGGAAAGACUUCUGAUGCAAUGAAGACUUAAUAAAGAUUUGAUUUUGAAUCAGUAAUUCAUGUCAUUGCAAAACAACUACUUGGUAGAAUUCUUUUCUUUGGCAAUAAUUUUCCUAAGAGCAGAAAUUAACAAUCAAAAUAUGUAGUACUCUUCAUUUUCUGAAAACAAAUCUAUGUCUAGAUGAGAGAAGAAUUCAUUGUAUAACUAGAGCUCUGGACUUAAAAAUCCAAAUCCUGUCUUUUCAACCAUGCCUACUAAGUUUCUAUCUAACUUUUGAACAUUGGGUGGUAGCUUCAGCUUUCAUCCCCUUAUUGAGUAUAUAGCUUGGCAACUAAGAGAGAUAAAUCUAAAAUUUGACAGCCUGGGUUCAAAUCUUGACUCUAAAAUUGAUUUGCUGAGUACCCUAAGCAGGUUAUCUGUUUUUACCUUGGUUUUCUCACUUAUAACAUAGAAAUAAUAUUACUUCUUUCAGGGAGCUGCUGUGAGGGUUAAAAAAAAAAAUCAUACAAAGUAAGAAUUUGUCAGUUCUAUAACAUAAUAAAUUCUUGGAAAAUGUUAGCUAUUUCAUGGGCCCCUCAUUUUAUGGGUAAUAUGGAUUAGUUUAUAUGGGUAUAAUAUUUAUAUAUACAUAUAUUUUGUAUCUAUAUGUGUGUAUAUGUACUUAUAUUAAAUUGAGCAGUCAACAUUUACAUUUAAAUCUAUGCUCUGUGAAAUGUAGAUCUCCUCUGUACAGACACAGUGCUAUGGUUAUUUAUUGCUACCUAAUAAAGAACUUCAAACUUAGUAUAAACAAAAAUUUUAAUAUGUGCACAGAUAUUCAAACAGUGCACAGAGGAGAUGGUUUGCCUCUAUUCCAUGACUGAUGUUGGAAGUCUCAGUUCAUGAUGAUUCAAAUGGCUGGGGUUGGAGUUGUCUAGAUCAUUUUAAUUCACAUGUCUGAUACCUGAGAGGGGAUGACUUGAAGACUGGGCCCAACUAGGGCUCUUGACUGGAGUGCCUACAGAUGCCUACCCACCUGGACUUCUCAUAACAUGGUAGUUAGGUUUUACGACGGAGUGUCCUGAGAAUGAGUGUCCAGGGAUCAAGCUGCAAAAGCUGCAUGACCUCUCAUGUCAUAGGCUUAGAUAUUACAUAGCAACACUUUCAUCAUAUUAUAUUACAAUGUUGAUCUUUUUCUAUAAAGUGUCAGUCAAUAGUUUAGGUUUUGCAAGCCAUACAGUCUCUGUUGCAGCUACUCAGCUCUGCUGCUGUGAUGUGAAAACAGCCAAGACAAUACGUAUACUCGUGAAUAUGGCUGUGUCCUAAUACAGCUUUAUUUACAAAAGCAAAUAGAGGCCUAGAUUUGGUCCACCAGCUAUAAUUUACUUCUGAUCUAUUGUUUGAAGCCAUGGAAAGCGUGCCCAAAUUCAAAGGGAAAUGCUCACAUCUGGAUAGGAAGAGUGGCAGAGAAUUUGGGACCCUGUUUUAAAACCAUCACAUAUGGGAUAUUUAUAUUAGUAUCUGUCUGCAUAUCUUGUUUCUCACAUGUUCAAUGUAUGUAAGUUUUGGGACAUCUUACAUCUCUGUAAUCCUGGGUCAAGUUCAAAGUUGGAAUCUGAACUUAAUGACCAUGAUUCCUGAAAUAAUUAGUAACUAUGAUUUCCUUCAAUUCCUUAUCACAAUAAAUAUAUCAUAAAAGAUAGAUUUCAAGAAAGUAAUUGAUUUAUGUAAUUUGGUACAGGGCAGACUUUUAUUAAGUCUCCAUUGGCUGAAUUAUUUCAUUUUGGUUAGAAAGUGUAAUUUGUGUUUUCUCUCUUUCCUGUAGAGAUUUUCAACUUUUCAGAUAAGGCAUUUCAUUCUGUUGAAAGGAUGAUACAGGUUUUUUAAUAGAUGGAAAAAUCAGGGAAGGAUGGAUUCACUCAGAUCACACUAAUGCUUACAGGAAUAACAGAAAUUGGAACACAGGCUUCCAGAUUUUCCUGUCCUGUGCUCUUUCUGGUAGCUGCUAUUGUCCGCUGGGCUUGGCAAUAAUCAUUUUUGACCUUUACCUCUCUAGGCUAUUGUGAAGUAGUUUUGGUCUUUGUUAGCUUUCUUACGAGUUCAUACUAAAUUGUGUCUAUAAAGUAGGCUGAAUUUCUCAGGGAAGGAUGAACACUGUAUUACUGUGUCAUUACUUACAAAUGUUGUGUUGGUUACCCUUAUUUUUCCCCCUUUUGUCCAGCUGUAUCCUGAACUUAUAAAAAUAUAUUAUCCAAAAUAAAAGAUGUGCAUCUGAUGGAAAACACUAAUUUAAGGGAUGAAACUUCCUGAUGAUUGCUUCAGUCAACCCUUAAUACACACUGAGCUUUGUUAGUAAAUAGAUAACUCUCAGAUCUUUCCCUGGGAAGAGAUGGCACAAUCAGCUUUGCGUUGAUUUCACAUUCUGUUCUUUUAGAGACAGAACAAAUUAGAAUAAUUGGCGGGUACAGGGCAAGCACAAAGAACUUUCUUAUAUUUUUGUGAUGCAUGCCUUAAUAAGGAUUGAAAAUGAGACUAAAGGCGCAAAUGUGAAACUCAGAAGGCAGUGGGGAGAGAGUAUUGUUUCUUUGAAAACACUCUUUCAGUGUUGGCCCAGAGAAAUAUGAAGGAAAAUUCCACAUUUCCAUCUUGUGGGAAAUAUAGCCUAAUCCUUCCAGUCAAGAUCAGAAUACCCAUCAGCUUGGAGACCAAGAGGAAAGCUUGAGGAUCAUUAAAUCUGAAUUUGUGCUUGGGGAGAAUGAAAAUUAAUUCAAGAAGAGACUCUGUCUGGAGUGAAAGGGUGUGGACCUGGAAAGCAGUAAGCUACCUCCUAAACACAACUGUAUUGUGGAAGUGGCCAAAGACCAGGACAUAUAAUGAGCAGGUUGGAAUACUCAUUGGAUAAGAUGCCUGUAGGUGUUAGCCCAAUCCAAAUUAACAACAUUUUUUACAUAAUGUUUAGCAAUUAAUGCACUAUGAUAGAAAUGGUACUGAAUUUAAGGGAUUGGCUGGCAGAUAAUUUAAGCCUGGUCUUAGCUAUGAAUGACUUCCUUUUCUGGUGUAAAAUAAUUUCGAGGUAGGUAUCUCCCAUCUCUAAACUUUCCUUUUGUAGUAUAUGGGAUCUUUACAUACUACUUGAUCUUCACAUACUAAAUUUCUAUUUUUUUGGGAAGACUUUCUUGUUUAGAUGAACUAAAUUAAAGUUUCUGCAGAAAUCAGAGAGCCACUUCAUACCUUAGCUUUCCUCUCUCCCAACCUUUGCAAUUCCUUGUAACCUCCAAAGUCUGUGCCCUAUGGAGAAUUAAAAGAACAAUAUUUGGGUAUUUGGUUUGUUUUUCUUUCUUCCCUACUGGUAACUCAAAUUUUUUGCUAAUACCAAAAAAAAAAAAAAAAAAAA